Molecule: ribosomal RNA, 240 nt
Filed under: uncultured bacterium
Lineage: Bacteria
Description: partial 16S ribosomal RNA
Rfam family: Bacterial small subunit ribosomal RNA
Source: RNAcentral
UGGGUAACCUGCCUCAAAGAGGGGAAUAGCCUCCCGAAAGGGAGAUUAAUACCGCAUAAUAUGUUUAAGUCGCAUGACUUUAACAUCAAAGGAUUUUCUUUUAGAACUUCCACUUUGAGAUGGACCCGCGGCGCAUUAGCUAGUUGGUGAGGUAACGGCUCACCAAGGCAACGAUGCGUAGCCGACCUGAGAGGGUGAUCGGCCACAUUGGAACUGAGACACGGCCCAGCCUCCGUAGGG